AAUCCGGCCGCCCGGGGCGCUGUCCGUCCCGUCGAGUGCUGAAACUCCCUGCUCUCGGGCUGGAGAGCCCAACCUGGCCCCCGCAAUUGGGAGGCAAGGGAGAGGCAGGGAGAACUUUCUUUCUCUCUUUAGUGAGUUCUCAUCUCCUCCCACCCCAAGAUAGUCAAGAUUUUGGGUGGGAGCAUAACGAUGGCAUUGGGCUUGCUUUUUCUAAAUCUUAGAAGAUUUUGGGCCGAGUGAGGACUGUGGAGGCUACCAGAUGCCCACCUGUCGGAGGCCACCAGGCUGCCCUGUCCUGGGGCGACCCCACUCCUCACAACACCAGGACCCGAGACCGCUCCGGAGACCAGGAGGACUGACCAGAAUGUGGGUAGCAUCUGCUAGUGGGGGACCAGAUUAAAUAGUGUGGAAGAAGGAAGACCACUUGCCCUUGUUGGCCUGGCCUGGCCUCUUGCUUGAAGCGUUGGACGAUGAUGAUGACGAUGACGACGAAGACGAUUCCUCCACUGAAAACAGAAGCAGCAGCCAUUUCAGGUUUCCAUCCUGGACCAAGGACCUUCAAGUCUCCAAGAACUUGCAGAUUUUUGGUGCAGGAUUGAUGACUACUGAGGCACCUCCAGGACCAGUCAGCUCCCGGAUUCCCAGCCUCGGUGUUGAGACUAUUUCAGAGUGAGCUGAUGACAUGCAUUCUCUAAUAUAUUUGGUAUAUAAAAUGUUUCAUAUUUAAUAUAGAAAAUGUGGGAUCCCAUCAAUUCUGUUCCUCCAGAAAAUUCCAGCUUACAGAGGACACAUGUGCACACCUGUGUGUGUGUGUCCUGUGGAGGUCAGAGGUCAGCCAUGGGCUUGUUCCUUGGAUGGCAUCCAUCUAUCUAGUUAUUUUAUUUUAUUUUAUUUUAUUUUAUUUUAUUUUAUUUUAUUUUAUUUUGAGCUAGCCUCUCUGAUUGACUGGGAACUCUCCAAGCAGGCUAGGCUGGCUGGCUAGUGAGCCCCAGAGAUCCACCUGCCUCUGCCGCCCCGCCCUGGGAAUAAAAACAUUCACUGCCCUGCC
Long non-coding RNA from Mus musculus (house mouse), 1048 nucleotides. RefSeq annotates it as RIKEN cDNA 1110018N20 gene. The transcript is spliced from 2 exons. NCBI's taxonomy places the organism in Eukaryota, Metazoa, Chordata, Mammalia, Rodentia, Muridae. The record is from RefSeq and is marked validated.